UGGCUUUGCAAAGAGUUUCUCCUUUGUGGGUGCGUUAUUUAAAGGGAUCAGUGGGGAUUUGCUGCAUUUGUGGUAGCUCUCGAAGCUGAAUAUUACCUGGAGCCCCAGUAUAAGGAUAAGAAACAUCACUAAAGAGAAUAUUUGGAAUUAUCACCUCUCUAUCAUCUCCAGGAGAUGCCUUUGAACUCACAGCCCCCCUCCCUUUUUAUUUAAAGACUUAUUUUU
Molecule: non-coding RNA, 225 nt
Organism: Peromyscus maniculatus bairdii (prairie deer mouse)
Lineage: Eukaryota; Metazoa; Chordata; Mammalia; Rodentia; Cricetidae
Source: RefSeq, a predicted model, not a curated record